AACGAGAAAGUCGCAAGGAUGAGUAAAGUGGCGUACGGGUGAGUAACACGUGGAUCAUCUACCCUCUAGUGGGGAAUACCGUUGGGAAACCGACGACAAUACCGCAUAAGCUCGAGAGAGGAAAGCAGCAAUGCGCUGGAGGGGGAGUCCGCGGCUGAUUAGCUAGUUGGUGAGGUAAUGGCUCACCAAGGCUCAGAUCAGUAGCCGGCCUGAGAGGGCACACGGCCACACUGGCACUGAAACACGGGCCAGACUCCUACGGGAGGCAGCAGUGGGGAAUCUUGCACAAUGGGGGAAACCCUGAUGCAGCGACGCCGCGUGAGCGAUGAAGCCCUUCGGGGUGUAAAGCUCUUUCGGCAGGCAAGAUAAUGACGGUACCUGCAGAAGCAGCUGCGGCUAACUACGUGCCAGCAGCCGCGGUAAUACGUAGGCAGCAAGCGUUGUUCGGAGUUACUGGGCGUAAAGGGUGUGUAGGCGGUCGGAUAAGUGUGGUGUGAAAUCUCCCGGCUCAACUGGGAGGGUGCGCUACAAACUGUCUGGCUAGAGUGCGGGAUGGGAAAGUGGAAUUCCUGGUGUAUCGGUG
Molecule: ribosomal RNA, 583 nt
Filed under: uncultured Candidatus Solibacter sp.
Lineage: Bacteria; Pseudomonadati; Acidobacteriota; Terriglobia; Bryobacterales; Solibacteraceae
Description: bacterial SSU rRNA
Rfam family: Bacterial small subunit ribosomal RNA
Source: RNAcentral